Molecule: ribosomal RNA, 464 nt
Filed under: Psychrobacter sp. R-42705
Lineage: Bacteria; Pseudomonadati; Pseudomonadota; Gammaproteobacteria; Moraxellales; Moraxellaceae
Description: bacterial SSU rRNA
Rfam family: Bacterial small subunit ribosomal RNA
Source: RNAcentral
UCCUGGCUCAGAUUGAACGCUGGCGGCAGGCUUAACACAUGCAAGUCGAGCGGAAACGAUGAUAGCUUGCUAUCAGGCGUCGAGCGGCGGACGGGUGAGUAAUACUUAGGAAUCUACCUAGUAGUGGGGGAUAGCACGGGGAAACUCGUAUUAAUACCGCAUACGUCCUACGGGAGAAAGGGGGCAACUUGUUGCUCUCGCUAUUAGAUGAGCCUAAGUCGGAUUAGCUAGAUGGUGGGGUAAAGGCCUACCAUGGCGACGAUCUGUAGCUGGUCUGAGAGGAUGAUCAGCCACACCGGGACUGAGACACGGCCCGGACUCCUACGGGAGGCAGCAGUGGGGAAUAUUGGACAAUGGGGGAAACCCUGAUCCAGCCAUGCCGCGUGUGUGAAGAAGGCCUUUUGGUUGUAAAGCACUUUAAGCAGUGAAGAAGACUCCGUGGUUAAUACCCACGGACGAUGACA